RNAcentral lists this ribosomal RNA (526 nucleotides) under uncultured bacterium. RNAcentral describes it as "bacterial SSU rRNA". It matches the Rfam family "Bacterial small subunit ribosomal RNA", at positions 28 to 526 of the family's 1533-position model. The record is from RNAcentral.
GACGAACGCUGGCGGCGUGCCUAAUACAUGCAAGUCGAACGACGAGACUUUAACUGAUGCUUGCAUCGACCAAAGGAUCGGAGUGGCGAACGGGUGAGUAACACGUGGGUAACCUGCCUAUCAGAGGGGGAUAACACUUGGAAACAGGUGCUAAUACCGUAUAACCAUGAUGACCGCAUGGUCAUGAUGUAAAAGGUGGUUUUGCUAUCGCUUUUGGAUGGACCCGCGGCGUAUUAACUAGUUGGUAAGGUAACGGCUUACCAAGGUGAUGAUACGUAGCCGAACUGAGAGGUUGAUCGGCCACAAUGGGACUGAGACACGGCCCAUACUCCUACGGGAGGCAGCAGUAGGGAAUCUUCCACAAUGGGCGCAAGCCUGAUGGAGCAACGCCGCGUGAAUGAAGAAGGUCUUCGGAUCGUAAAGUUCUGUUAUUAGAGAAGAACACGUGUAAGAGUAACUGAUUAUGCGUUGACGGUAUCUAAUCAGCAAGUCACGGCUAACUACGUGCCAGCCGCCGCCGUAAAAC